AUUGAACGCUGGCGGAAUGCUUUACACAUGCAAGUCGAACGGCAGCACGGGAGCUUGCUCCUGGUGGCGAGUGGCGAACGGGUGAGUAAUAUAUCGGAACGUAUCCAAUAAUGGGGGAUAACUAGUCGAAAGAUUAGCUAAUACCGCAUACGCCCUGAGGGGGAAAGCUGGGGAUCUUCGGACCUAGCGUUAAUGGAGCGGCCGAUAUCUGAUUAGCUAGUAGGUGAGGUAAAAGCUCACCUAGGCGACGAUCAGUAGCUGGUCUGAGAGGACGACCAGCCACACUGGAACUGAGACACGGUCCAGACUCCUACGGGAGGCAGCAGUGGGGAAUUUUGGACAAUGGGCGCAAGCCUGAUCCAGCCAUUCCGCGUGAGUGAAGAAGGCCUUCGGGUUGUAAAGCUCUUUCGCAAGGGAAGAAAACUUAACCUCUAACAUAGGUUGAGGCUGACGGUACCUUGAUAAGAAGCACCGGCUAACUACGUGCCAGCAGCCGCCGUAA
Molecule: ribosomal RNA, 502 nt
Filed under: uncultured bacterium
Lineage: Bacteria
Description: partial 16S ribosomal RNA
Rfam family: Bacterial small subunit ribosomal RNA
Source: RNAcentral